AACGAACGCUGGCGGCAUGCCUAACACAUGCAAGUCGAACGAGACCUUCGGGUCUAGUGGCGCACGGGUGCGUAACGCGUGGGAACCUGCCCUUAGGUUCGGAAUAACUCCCCGAAAGGGGUGCUAAUACCGGAUAAUGUCUUCGGACCAAAGAUUUAUCGCCUUUGGAUGGGCCCGCGUUGGAUUAGCUAGUUGGUAGGGUAAAAGCCUACCACGGCGACGAUCCAUAGCUGGUCUGAGAGGAUGGUCCGCCACACUGGGACUGAGACACGGCCCAGACUCCUACGGGAGGCAGCAGUGGGGAAUAUUGGACAAUGGGCGAAAGCCUGAUCCAGCAAUGCCGCGUGAGUGAUGAAGGCCUUAGGGUUGUAAAGCUCUUUUACCCGGGAUGAUAAUGACAGUACCGGGAGAAUAAGCUCCGGCUAACUCCGUG
This 433-nucleotide ribosomal RNA is filed under the name uncultured bacterium. RNAcentral's name for it is "partial 16S ribosomal RNA". It matches the Rfam family "Bacterial small subunit ribosomal RNA", at positions 29 to 507 of the family's 1533-position model. The record is from RNAcentral.